RNAcentral lists this long non-coding RNA (2035 nucleotides) under Taeniopygia guttata (zebra finch). RNAcentral's name for it is "lncRNA (ENSTGUG00000027014.1)". Lineage: Eukaryota; Metazoa; Chordata; Aves; Passeriformes; Estrildidae. The record is from RNAcentral.
CCCACGGCCGUGACCUUGUCUGAGGGGAGGUGGGGGGGCUCGGGGACACCCCCGAGUUUAUCGCGACAGAGGCGACAGCGACAGCGACAGCGGCGACAUGGCCGGGCUGGGGAUGGGAGCGGGGCUGCGGCUGCUGCGGAGGAUCCCGCCCGGAUUUGGGGGGUCCCGGCUGCAAAGCACGCAGGAAGCGCAGGCCGUGCUCCCCAAAACUGGGACCACCACGGCCACGGCAGCCCCCCCAAAAGCCCAGAAGAGCCUCGAGGAAUCGAAAUCCUUCGCUGUGGGGAUGUUUUUGGGGCGCCUCAAUGCUGAACAGGUGUUCCCCUACCCCUCAGUCCUGACCGAGGAACAAGAACAAACCCUGCGGGAGCUCGUGGGUCCCCUCAGCCGCUUCUUUGAGGAGGUGAACAACCCCUUCAAGAACGACGCCCUGGAGAAGGUGGAGGACGAGACCAUGAAAGGGUUAAAGGAGCUGGGGGCCUUCGGCCUCCAGGUGCCCCUGGAAUUUGGGGGGCUGGGGCUCAACAACACCCAGUACGCGCGGCUGGUGCAGAUCGUGGGGCAGCACGACCUGGGCGUGGGGAUCACGCUGGGUGCGCACCAGUCCAUCGGCUUCAAGGGGCUGCUGCUCUACGGGACCCCCCCCCAGAAGGAGAAGUACCUGCCCCGCCUGGCCACGGGGGAGUGGGUGGCGGCGUUCUGCCUGACGGAGCCGGGCAGCGGCUCCGACGCCGCCUCCAUCCGCACCCGCGCCACGCCCAGCCCCUGCGGCUCCUUCUGGACCCUGGACGGGGAGAAAAUCUGGAUCAGCAACGGGGGCCUGGCCGAGCUGUUCACGGUGUUUGCGCAGACGCCGGUGAGGGACGAGCGCAGCGGGGAGAGCCGCGAGAGGAUCACCGCCUUCCUCGUCGAGAGGGGCUUCGGCGGCGUCACACACGGCCCCAGCGAGAAGAAGCUGGGCAUCCGCGCCUCCAACACGACGUCGCUGCACUUCGACUCCGUCCGUGUCCCGGCGCAGAACGUCCUCGGCGGCCUCGGCGGCGGCUUCAAGGUGGCCAUGAACAUCCUCAACAACGGCCGCUUCGGCAUGGCCGCGGCCAUGGCCGGCACCAUGCGGGGGCUGCUGCAGGCCGCGGUCGCCCACGCCUCCACCCGGACCCAAUUUGGGGCCAAAAUCCACAAAUUUGGGGCCAUCCAGGAGAAACUGGCCCGGAUGGCGCUGCUGCACUACGUCACCGAGUCCAUGGCCUUCAUGAUCAGCGCCAACAUGGACCGAGGUGACCCCGACUUCCAGAUCGAGGCGGCCAUCAGCAAAAUCUUCGGCUCCGAGGCCGCCUGGGCCGUGGCCGACGAGUGCAUCCAGAUCAUGGGGGGGAUGGGCUUCAUGCAGGAGCAGGGCGUGGAGCGGGUGCUGCGGGAUUUGAGGAUUUUCCGCAUUUUCGAGGGAACCAACGACAUCCUCCGGCUCUUCGUGGCCCUGCAGGGCUUCCAGGGUCUGGGGGCGCAGCUCCGGGGGGUUCAGGCGGCGCUCAGGGACCCCCUGGGCAACGUCGGCGUCCUGACGGGGGAAGUGACGCGGCGGCUGCGCAGGUACCAAAAACUGACAAAAUCACCCCAAAAACGGACAAAAUCACCCAAAAUAUCCCAAAAAUGUUCGAUUUUGGGGGUCCCGGGGUGGAUUUUUGGGGUGCUGAACCCCAAAAUCGCCCCCAAAGAGGAGCAGUUCGCCCUGAAGCGCGUGGCCGACGCCGCCAUCGACGUCUACGCCAUGGCCGUGGUGCUGUCCCGGGCCUCGAGGUCGCUGAAUUCGGGGCUCCCCACGGCGCAGCACGAGCGGCUGCUCGCCCUCAGCUGGUGCCAGGAGGUAAAGCCGGGAAUUUCGGGAAAAUUCGGGAAUUUUGGGGGAAUUCGGGAUUUUUGGGGGGAAAUUUGGGGAAUUUGGAGGGAUUUUGGGGGGAUUUUAGGGAUUUUGGGGAAAAUUUUGGGCUGGUUUGGGGUUCGCUUUGGGGACGAUUUUGGGCUGAUUUUAGGCUGA